UACCGCAUAUUCUGUGAGCAGGAAAGCAGGGGAUCGCAAGACCUUGCGCUGAUUGAGCCGGCCGAUGUCAGAUUAGCUAGUUGGUGAGGUAAAGGCUCACCAAGGCGACGAUCUGUAGCGGGUCUGAGAGGAUGAUCCGCCACACUGGGACUGAGACACGGUCCAGACUCCUACGGGAGGCAGCAGGUGGGGUAAUUUUGGACAAUGGGGGCAACCCUGAUCCAGCCAUGCCGCGUGAGUGAAGAAGGCCUUCGGGUUGUAAAGCUCUUUCGGCCGGGAAGAAAUCGCAUGGGUUAAUACCCUGUGCGGAUGACGGUACCGGCAUAAGAAGCACCGGCUAACUACGUG
This 348-nucleotide ribosomal RNA is filed under the name uncultured bacterium. RNAcentral describes it as "bacterial SSU rRNA". It matches the Rfam family "Bacterial small subunit ribosomal RNA", at positions 167 to 507 of the family's 1533-position model. The record is from RNAcentral.